Molecule: small nucleolar RNA, 81 nt
Organism: Candida albicans SC5314
Lineage: Eukaryota; Fungi; Ascomycota; Pichiomycetes; Serinales; Debaryomycetaceae
Source: RefSeq, a predicted model, not a curated record
GAUCUUUGUUACACUAUUUCAAAUAUGAUCCCCCCCCCAUAAAAAGAGAGAAGAUCAAAUGACCAAAAUCUAGGUAAGUGA